RNAcentral lists this ribosomal RNA (549 nucleotides) under uncultured Glomus. RNAcentral's name for it is "SSU rRNA". It matches the Rfam family "Eukaryotic small subunit ribosomal RNA", at positions 548 to 1098 of the family's 1831-position model. Lineage: Eukaryota; Fungi; Glomeromycota; Glomeromycetes; Glomerales; Glomeraceae. The record is from RNAcentral.
UUGGAGGGCAAGUCUGGUGCCAGCAGCCGCGGUAAUUCCGGCUCCAGUAGCGUAUAUUAAAGUUGUUGCAGUUAAAAAGCUCGUAGUUGAAUUUCGGGAUCAAUGGAUUGGUCAUGCCGUUGGUAUGUACUGAUUUUAUUGAUUCUCACCUUCUAAAGAAUCAUAGUGCCAUUAAUUUGGUGUUGUGAGGAAUUAGGACUGUUACCUUGAAAAAAUUAGAGUGUUUAAAGCAGGCUUACGCUUGAAUACAUUAGCAUGGAAUAACGAAAUAGGACAUCGCAUUCUAUUUUGUUGGUUUCUAGGAUCGAUGUAAUGAUUAAUAGGGAUAGUUGGGGGCAUUAGUAUUCAAUUGUCAGAGGUGAAAUUCUUGGAUUUAUUGAAGACUAACUACUGCGAAAGCAUUUGCCAAGGAUGUUUUCAUUAAUCAAGAACGAAAGUUAGGGGAUCGAAGACGAUCAGAUACCGUCGUAGUCUUAACCAUAAACCAUGCCGACUAGGGAUCGGAUGAUGUUAAUUUUUUAAUGACUCAUUCGGCACCUUACGGGAAAC